Molecule: long non-coding RNA, 964 nt
Organism: Mesocricetus auratus (golden hamster)
Lineage: Eukaryota; Metazoa; Chordata; Mammalia; Rodentia; Cricetidae
Exons: 2
Source: RefSeq, a predicted model, not a curated record
CUGGUGAGCCUGGGUGAGCCUGGUGAGCCUCGGUGAGCCUGGUGAGCCUGGGUGAGCCUGGUGAGCCUGGCUGAGCUUGGGUGAGCCUGGGUGAGCCUGGCUAAGCCUGGUGAGCUGGGUGAGCCUAGGUGAGCCUGGUGAGCUGGGUGAGCCUGGCUGAGCUUGGGUGAGCCUGGGUGAGCCUGGCUAAGCCUGGUGAGCCUGGGUGAGCCUGGGUGAGCCUGGUGAGCCUGGGUGAGGUGCCCAUUUUGUGCUGCACACCAGCUUCAUGCACAGAGACCUUUUGAGGAAGCCACUGCUCUGCCCUCCCCAGCUCCAGCUUUGUCUCCUGUAUACCACAUCCUCUCUCAGUGACUUGUCUGCUCCCGACAGAAGUCCUGGCCCUUGAGGUGGUGAAACGUAUACCACACGAGAGACUGGGAAGGAAGCGCAAGCAGCCAGAGCAGACACCAUCAGGUCCGGGCUUCCGUGACUCCACAGAGUAUCCUCACUGGCCCUCCUGGGCUUUGAGCCUUCAGAGGCGGGUGAGAGGGAAGGACAUGAGGGAGCAGGUCCAGGGAGAAGUGGCCCACGUUAGUGAAGUAGCUGGAAGAUGGAGAAGCAACACAGGGUGUUAAAUAUUUCUGGGGCACCGGCAAGCAGCGUGAGCUAGUGCCUGCGCGUGUCCUCGCAGUUACGUGAGCUAGUGCCUGCGUGUGUCCUCCCAGUUACGUGAGCUAGUGCCUGCGUGUGUCCUCCCAGUUACGUGAGUUGGAGUGACCUCUGUCUGUGAAGAAGUGGUUGACAGUACUGAAGCAUGUGUGUCACAUCUUUCUUCCCCCUCUUUUUGUUUAUUUUAGACAGGAUCUCACUGUGUAGCCCUCGAAGGCCUUGAACUUUUGAAAUUUCAGCAAUCUUCCUGGCUCUGCCUUCCAAGAACUUAGAUUAUAAGUGUGCCACAACACCCAACUAUUAUUAUUAUUAA